CAAAAAUCGACUAAUCAAAUAAAAAGCAAUGUCGAAAAUUCAACCACUAACUAAAUCUAACAGGUAAACAUUUAAAAAUACAAACCACUAAAUAAUGAUCGAAUUAAAUUAAUAAAAAUAUAAAAGUAAAAUAAAUAGCAAGAUACUAUAUAAAAAAGAAAUUAAAUAAAAUAGUAAGCAUAACAAAUAAAAACAUGAAGAUUUGCCAUCCCCAA
Molecule: long non-coding RNA, 215 nt
Filed under: Lathyrus oleraceus (garden pea)
Lineage: Eukaryota; Viridiplantae; Streptophyta; Magnoliopsida; Fabales; Fabaceae
Description: Pisum sativum (pea) long non-coding RNA (PSAT_LNC034401)
Source: RNAcentral